Corvus hawaiiensis (hawaiian crow) is the source of this 1558-nucleotide long non-coding RNA. RefSeq lists it as uncharacterized. The transcript is spliced from 2 exons. The record is from RefSeq and is a predicted model, not a curated record. Lineage: Eukaryota; Metazoa; Chordata; Aves; Passeriformes; Corvidae.
GUCUCAGCGCUUUGCAGGCAGUGCCAGACCUCGGCGUGGCACAGUGCGUGAAACCAAGCCCCACGCAGCAGGCAGGGCACGGCACGUGGGUUUGGGGAAUUGCACAGUUGUUUCGGGAGUGGGCAAAAAAUGCACUCUGUGAUAGGGAACGUGGCUCUCGGAAAGGUAGGUGUCCUGGUUUGUGCAGGAAUGCAGGGCUGGGAGACUCCGCGUGGAAAGGGGGUGGGUGUGGAGAGAGAAAGAGAAUUUGUUUCCAGCGUGGAGAGGCGCCUUUCUAACCCAACACUCGAGCUCCAAUCACACACUCUGAGGUUAGCGUAGCAUUAAAUUAACAGGGUCGGGGUUAUCCAGGGCAUUACACCGCGUGCCCGCGAUGUAACCUCUGCUCAUUUAUACACAAAGAAGAGGGAGAGACGGAGUUACAUCUGGAAAGCCAAAGAGCACGGUGAGUAUCGGUAUUCGCUGCUCUCCCUCCCAUGCCUGCGAACAAAGUUCAAAGGCGGCCGGUGCGGGACCGGGGCUGGCUCCUCCGAAGCCCCCCGCUCCCUAUGGAGGCGGCAGCGCAGCCGCCUUUGGAGCCAGGACCCCCAGUGCAGCCCCUCUGGGGCGAGCCCUCGCUGAACAGCAAGGAGAACUUGCGGUAUCUUGGUUAGAACUUUGCUACUUUACGUAGAGAGGGAAAAAAAAAAUAAUGAAAAAAAUUGACUUGGAUGCAGCGCUAUUUAUAGGUGGCGGUAAAGGCUCCUUUUCAAUAAGCAGCCGUGGAAAAGAAACGUCAGAAAACUGGUUGCUUUAUUGAUCCGAGGUGCUGGAUGGUCACAGCCACGCCAACCAGGCUGCAACUACAAAGUCGCGUCUUCUCUCGGGUUAGGCAGCGAGAAAGGGAAUAGGAUGAGGGUUUUGCUGGCCACUAGCUUGGACACGAUUCAAUUCCCAAGCACAGGUACAGGGCAAAAGAGUGUGAGAUGGAAGACUUUUCCCUUUUCUUUCAGGCACGCACACAAUGCGGGGCACCCGCAGGGCUGAAAGUGGGCCAGGGCUACACGGUGCACGUUAGAACAAGCUGGAAGCACUCCUUGUGCCUGACGGUAUCCCCCACGCCCAUUGGAAAUAAAGCAAGAGGCUUGCUCUUUCUUUACAUGUUUUAAACCUUGUUUUAAUUAGAAUUGCCAAAGUAGGACACCCCGGUGGAAGACGUUUUCAAGUAUCCACCUACCUCUCUGCUGUAAGCAGAAUUGCUCUCUGCUAAAUUGCUUGAAACGCAAAAUUCUGCCCCACCCCCAGCUUGGUUUGGCACCUACUCACUUUUUCCCCCCCGAAAUUGCAAUCGUUUAUGAAAGGUUACUCCAUUGGGAGGAAAAGAGAAACCCCAAACACCCAGCAGUAAUGAGAUGAGUGGACUCUCAGAGCCUGGCUUUGCUCUGUACAACAGGCGAUGCUUUGGACAGAGAGUGUCCCAAAAAAACUCAUGCCUUUUUUUUUUUUUUUGAAGUCACAGAUUGGGCGUAUCCUUACCCUUCUCCUUUAAUUUAUUUGAUUAAAUCAUAACCAAAACAGA